This 73-nucleotide transfer RNA is filed under the name Stegodyphus mimosarum. It matches the Rfam family "tRNA". Rfam says of the family: Transfer RNA (tRNA) molecules are approximately 80 nucleotides in length. The record is from Rfam by way of RNAcentral. Lineage: Eukaryota; Metazoa; Arthropoda; Arachnida; Araneae; Eresidae.
GCCUUCGUGGUGUAAUGGUCAGCACACUGAGCCGGUAUUUCAGAGGUCCUUGGUUCGAUCCCCGGCGAAGGCA